UGGCGGACGGGUGAGUAACGCGUAGGUAUCUAUCCUUGGGUGGGGGGACAACUGUGGGAAACUACAGCUAAUACCGCAUGAUAACUGAGGUUUAAAGGCGCAAGUCGCCUGAGGAGGAGCCUGCGUACGAUUAGCUAGUUGGCGGGGUAAAGGCCCACCAAGGCGACGAUCGUUAGCUGGUCUGAGAGGAUGAUCAGCCACAUUGGGACUGAGACACGGCCCAA
This 224-nucleotide ribosomal RNA is filed under the name uncultured bacterium. Its description in RNAcentral is "partial 16S ribosomal RNA". It matches the Rfam family "Bacterial small subunit ribosomal RNA", at positions 96 to 334 of the family's 1533-position model. The record is from RNAcentral.